Molecule: transfer RNA, 64 nt
Filed under: Euwallacea fornicatus
Lineage: Eukaryota; Metazoa; Arthropoda; Insecta; Coleoptera; Curculionidae
Description: tRNA-Gly
Source: RNAcentral
ACUUAUAUAAUAUAAACAAUUAUAUUUGACUUCCAAUCAAAAAAUCUAUACUUUAGUAUAAGUA